GGGCCCGCACAAGCGGUGGAGCAUGUGGUUUAAUUCGAUGAUACGCGAGGAACCUUACCAGGACUUAAAUGUAAGUUGCAUGAUUCAGAAAUGAAUCUUUCUUCGGACUACUUACAAGGUGCUGCAUGGUUGUCGUCAGCUCGUGCCGUGAGGUGUCAGGUUAAGUCCUAUAACGAGCGCAACCCCCUAUCGUUAGUUGCCAUCAAGUAAAGUUGGGGAACUCUAGCGAAACUGCCGUGCAAACCGAGAGGAAGGUGGGGAUGACGUCAAAUCAUCACGGCCCCUUACGUUCUGGGGCUACACACGUGCUACAAUGGUCGGUACAGAAAGCAGCCACUAUGCGAAUAGGAGCU
Molecule: ribosomal RNA, 353 nt
Filed under: uncultured bacterium
Lineage: Bacteria
Description: bacterial SSU rRNA
Rfam family: Bacterial small subunit ribosomal RNA
Source: RNAcentral